Molecule: ribosomal RNA, 482 nt
Filed under: uncultured bacterium
Lineage: Bacteria
Description: partial 16S ribosomal RNA
Rfam family: Bacterial small subunit ribosomal RNA
Source: RNAcentral
AUUGAACGCUGGCGGCAUGCCUUACACAUGCAAGUCGAACGGUAACGGGCCUUCGGGUGCCGACGAGUGGCGCACGGGUGAGUAAUACAUCGGAACGUGCCCGAUCGUGGGGGAUAACGAGGCGAAAGCUUUGCUAAUACCGCAUACGAUCUACGGAUGAAAGCAGGGGACCGCAAGGCCUUGCGCGGACGGAGCGGCCGAUGGCAGAUUAGGUAGUUGGUGGGAUAAAAGCUUACCAAGCCGACGAUCUGUAGCUGGUCUGAGAGGAUGAUCAGCCACACUGGGACUGAGACACGGCCCAGACUCCUACGGGGGGCAGCAGUGGGGAAUUUUGGACAAUGGGCGCAAGCCUGAUCCAGCCAUGCCGCGUGCAGGAUGAAGGCCUUCGGGUUGUAAACUGCUUUUGUACGGAACGAAAAGCCUUCUUUUAAUACAGGAGGGUCAUGACGGUACCGGAAGAAUAAGCACCGGCUAACUACGUG